Long non-coding RNA from Spea bombifrons (plains spadefoot toad), 375 nucleotides. RefSeq lists it as uncharacterized. The record is from RefSeq and is a predicted model, not a curated record. The transcript is spliced from 3 exons. NCBI's taxonomy places the organism in Eukaryota, Metazoa, Chordata, Amphibia, Anura, Pelobatidae.
UCUGGACCCUAAAGAGAUAGCACAUGUGUGCUCAGUGCUUAGAGAGGGGGGUAUCAUCUGUAGCAAACAGGACCGGACUACAUUAACAUCGGGAGUACGGCGACGAGAAGAAUGGCACCGAAUUGGGGAUAUUUAUUUACUGGUCACUUAGAAGAAUUUUUAGAACUGAAGACAGUUUAUAGAAGACAACAAUGAAUAUGUUCAUCUGUGGACACAUCGCACAUAGAAGAAAAUCAGGAGAUGAAACGCUGUCAGCAGCCAGACUGGUGGCAGAAAAGCGGCCCUGGAGCUUUAAGGCCAGCAGCCUCCUAAUGAUGUACACGUGGCCAAACACAAUCCCCUUUACAGCUUGUGGCUGCGGAUAUCCAUCCCACG